GAUGAACGCUGGCGGCGUGCCUAAUACAUGCAAGUCGAGCGAACAGACGAGGAGCUUGCUCCUCUGACGUUAGCGGCGGACGGGUGAGUAACACGUGGAUAACCUACCUAUAAGACUGGGAUAACUUCGGGAAACCGGAGCUAAUACCGGAUAACAUGUUGAACCGCAUGGUUCAACAGUGAAAGACGGUUUUGCUGUCACUUAUAGAUGGAUCCGCGUCGCAUUAGCUAGUUGGUAAGGUAACGGCUUACCAAGGCAACGAUGCGUAGCCGACCUGAGAGGGUGAUCGGCCACACUGGAACUGAGACACGGUCCAGACUCCUACGGGAGGCAGCAGUAGGGAAUCUUCCGCAAUGGGCGAAAGCCUGACGGAGCAACGCCGCGUGAGUGAAGAAGGUCUUCGGAUCGUAAAACUCUGUUAUUAGGGAAGAACAAAUGUGUAAGUAACUAUGCACGUCUCGACGGUACCUAAUCAGAAAGCCACGGCUAACUACGUG
Molecule: ribosomal RNA, 497 nt
Filed under: uncultured bacterium
Lineage: Bacteria
Description: partial 16S ribosomal RNA
Rfam family: Bacterial small subunit ribosomal RNA
Source: RNAcentral